CAGUCGCCGCGGGAACACGUAGGUGGCAAGCGUUGUCCGGAAUUAUUGGGCGUAAAGCGCGCGCAGGCGGAUCGGUCAGUCUGUCUUAAAAGUUCGGGGCUUAACCCCGUGAUGGGAUGGAAACUGCCAAUCUAGAGUAUCGGAGAGGAAAGUGGAAUUCCUAGUGUAGCGGUGAAAUGCGUAGAUAUUAGGAAGAACACCAGUGCGAAGGCGACUUUCUGGACGAAAACUGACGCUGAGGCGCGAAAGCCAGGGGAGCGAACGGGAUUAGAUACCCCUGUAGUCCCUGUCUCUUAUACAC
RNAcentral lists this ribosomal RNA (301 nucleotides) under uncultured bacterium. RNAcentral's name for it is "partial 16S ribosomal RNA". It matches the Rfam family "Bacterial small subunit ribosomal RNA", at positions 509 to 810 of the family's 1533-position model. The record is from RNAcentral.